GAUGAACGCUGGCGGCGUGCCUAAUACAUGCAAGUCGAACGAAAAGGCCCUGCUCUUGCGCCGUGCUCGAGAGCCGAACGGGUGAGUAUCACGCGAGUAUCCCCUCCUUAUCUUUGUGAGAACUCUUGGAAACAGCGGAGAUAACACGGGAGAAUAUCUUGCACCGCGGGGUGCGAUGGAAAGUGUCGGCGGUGGGGGCUGUACUCGAUGCUUAUGAGCUGGUUGGUGGGGUAGUGGAUUUCCAAGCUUUCGACGGCUAGCCGGCCUGGGAGGGUGAACGGCCACAUGGGGACUGAGGUACGGACCAGACUCCUACGGGAGGCAGCAGUGGGGAAUAUUGCAGAAUGGGCGGAAGCCUGAUGCAGCAGCGCCGCGUGCGGGAUGCCGGCCUACGAGUUGUAAACCGCUUUCGCCGGUGCCGUAGCGUUAGUGACGGUAAUGGGUAAAGAAGCACCGGCUAACUACGUG
RNAcentral lists this ribosomal RNA (468 nucleotides) under uncultured bacterium. RNAcentral describes it as "partial 16S ribosomal RNA". It matches the Rfam family "Bacterial small subunit ribosomal RNA", at positions 28 to 507 of the family's 1533-position model. The record is from RNAcentral.